GCCCGGGGACGGCCCCGGGCCAUUCGCUGCAACGGGGACGACCCC
RNAcentral lists this non-coding RNA (45 nucleotides) under Burkholderia vietnamiensis. RNAcentral describes it as "mini-ykkC". It matches the Rfam family "Guanidine-II riboswitch aptamer (mini-ykkC)". From Rfam's summary of the family: Simpler in structure and has fewer highly conserved nucleotide positions than the ykkC-yxkD leader. Lineage: Bacteria; Pseudomonadati; Pseudomonadota; Betaproteobacteria; Burkholderiales; Burkholderiaceae. The record is from RNAcentral.